RNAcentral lists this ribosomal RNA (460 nucleotides) under uncultured bacterium. Its description in RNAcentral is "partial 16S ribosomal RNA". It matches the Rfam family "Bacterial small subunit ribosomal RNA", at positions 338 to 795 of the family's 1533-position model. The record is from RNAcentral.
CCUACGGGAGGCAGCAGUGAGGAAUAUUGGUCAAUGGACGAGAGUCUGAACCAGCCAAGUAGCGUGAAGGAUGACUGCCCUAUGGGUUGUAAACUUCUUUUAUAUGGGAAUAAAACGUUCCACGUGUUCCUUUUUGUAUGUACCUUAUGAAUAAGGAUCGUCUAACUCCGUGCCAGCAGCCGCGGUAAUACGGAGGAUCCGAGCGUUAUCCGGAUUUAUUGGGUUUAAAGGGAGCGUAGGUGGGUUGUUAAGUCAGUUGUGAAAGUUUGCGGCUCAACCGUAAAAUUGCAGUUGAUACUGGCAGUCUUGAGUACAGUAGAGGUGGGCGGAAUUCGUGGUGUAGCGGUGAAAUGCUUAGAUAUCACGAAGAACUCCGAUUGCGAAGGCAGCUCACUAAACUGUAACUGACAUUGAGGCUCGAAAGUGUGGGUAUCAAACAGGAUUAGAUACCCGAGUAGUC